UCUUAUGAAAUUAUAUUUUUUGAUUCUGUAUAAGAAUCUCAAUGUUUUAUUUACGUAAGUACAUAUAUACCCAUAUAAUUUUUAAAAAUAUAAGGAUUAAAAUAUUAAAAAUAAUUAAUUGUAAAAAAUAAUAUGUAAUUAGUCCAUUAAUCCACAUGGACCAUACUACAUAGUGGGUCGGAUUCAGAUCGGGUAAAGCUCCCCGCUCAAGAAGAAAUUCUGAACGGUGAGAUAUUGCUGUAAGAUUUGCGCUCGAUCAGGUGCUGCUCCGGACACGGUCGGAGAAGCGGUACGAACCCUAUACCUCUUCGGCCGAUCUUUUGCUCCCCCGUCGAGUCGUCUUUUCCUCUGGUGGCGCUCGAGGCCCAGGGUUCCGAUUCGCAGUGCGAGGCAUCGUAUUAAGCGGUAAGCAAUCAUCUCCCACUUCAAAUUUUACGUGAAUCGGAUCAACAUAGCUACUGCUCUCGAGUAGAUCUGUGCGAUUCAUUGAGAAAAAGCAGGAAUCUUAUUUCUUACUCGGGUCGAGCUCGUGAAACGUGAAUCUUGACACCUUGUUCUUGCUAUAAUUUCAUUCAGGUUUUUCGUUCAGUAAUUCAAGAAAGUUCGAAUCUUGUUCUUGAGUAAAACCCUCAUCUCUAUUGGUUUGAUCGAAACUAGAAAUACAAGAAGCAGGAUUUUCUCUGCUCCUUGCGCUCCCAUUCCUUUAGUUUGGCUUCGAGGCAGACUCUUUAAUGUUCUUCCUCAUGAACCCAGGAAAUGGCCACCUUCUUCUCUGGUAAUUGGCAGCUGUUCUCAUUCUUUCCUAUGCAUCCAUCUUCGGAUAUUGUCUACUACCAAAUCAUUUUACUUCACUUAAUAAAGCUCAGAAUUUUGGGUGAGUAGCUGAUGCAGAAGUAGGUUUUCUUUUCCACUGCUUUGGGUGCAAUCUUAUUUGUUUAAAGAUUUCUCUUCUGGCGCCACUAUAUAGCUUUUUUGGAUUUCAUGUCAGCUUUAGGCUCAUCUUGAGAAGAGUUGUCUUUGUCAAAAUCCAUUUGCAUUUUUUCCCACACAGAAUUUUGUUUUCGUGCUGUAGUAUAUUUCCUUUAUAGAAGCAUUGCUUUUACUAUUCGAAGGAGAAAUCCAUUUAGCUCUCUCUCUCAAAUCUUCAUUUGACCACGUUGAAUCUUGAAUUUCGACGAUGAAACUAAUUAAUAAUGUUACGAUCUAAUCUGAGUGACGCAGGACUAGCUUCGAUCAGAAAAGAUAAAUUGAAUAAAGCAGGAGGAAUCAGAUGUUGGACCGAAGUUAAACAUGUCAGAAAAUUGGAGGAUCGAUCGACGUAUAGGCAGGCAGAAGGCUUCAUACCGUGAAUUCGGGCAUCGGGCCGAAGGAUUGGACAUUGCGCCAAAGACAUGUCGGACAACAAAUGAUUCGUGCUUUAUAAUAAUUUGUCUAGAUAGAAGUCGUAAUUGGGUUGGUUUAGAAUGUAAUUAAGUUAACUCAAAUAGGGGUCAAUUGGGCCCAAAGCGGAGCUGUUUUGGGCCAAAUGAAAUGCCCAUUCACUAACCCAAAAGUUGGGUCAUGCAAUGGUACCGCCAGAUUAGGCGGUACCUUCAAGCGGUGGUACCGCCCAGACACAGUCUUCUAGACUGUGUCAAGCGGUGGUACCACCUAGUGUCAGUGUUGCAGGCGGUAGUAUCGCCCAGCACAGGCGGUGGUACUGCUAGGACCGGGGAAAUCCGAGAUGAGACCUUUUUUGGCUCUCAUUUUGAAGUCAUUUGAGGUCUAUAAAUACCCUAGCUAUUCCUGCAUGGAGAAGCAAUAAUUUGAGCAGAAAGAGGUUAUUAUUCUAAGUUGAAAAAGUACUAAGUGUCCUCCUCCUCUUUAAGUUUCGGGCUUAGUCUAAGAGAGGUAUGAAGUGUUAGGAUCGGAGCGGCACUAAGAGGAGGAGGGGGGGGAGGGGGGUGUGAAUUAGUGUAGCGGAUUAAAACUCGUAAGUUUGAAAACGAUUUCGAUUCGACAAUGAAUGACUUGGUGAAAGUAGCUCGAGUAAAGUGAGAAGAUAAAAACCGAAAGCUUGCUGCUAUGUAAAUAACGGUUUAAGAAAGGUAAACACUCACACAUUCAAAGAACACACCAAUUUAAAGUGGUUCGGUCAAAAUGACCUACAUCCACUUGCGAAGCCUUCUUCGAUGAGACUCCCAACUUCCACUAGCAAAUCACUUUGAAUGGGAAGGACAAAUACCCUUCUUACAACCUUUUACAAGUGGUUCACACUCUUACAUAUUUUCAAAGAGAAAGAGGGAGGUGAACACUUAAGCUAUUGAAAACAAGACUUGCUAAAGACUUUGCUAAGGCUUUAUCUCAAUCUCUAACUUCUCAAAGGUUGUUGUCUCUGCUGAGAAUUGACGGGUAUUUAUAGACCCCAAGAGGAUUCAAAUUUGGGCUCCAAAUUUGAAAUACUUUUGGGUUCCCGAUGCUGGCGGUGCCACCACUUGUCAAUGUCUGACACUAACAGUGUACUGGCGGUGCCACCGCCCAGUCCGACGGUGCCACCGCCCAAUCCGGCGGUACCACCACCCGAUCCUUCGGGUUCUGGGCGGUGCCACCGCCUAGACUAUUUCAGCUCACUGGUUGGGCUCCAAACUUGGCCUAAACUUGGGCCCAAUUGGCCCCUAACCGGGUUAUAGGAUUAACCCUUAAUCCUAACCCUAAUUACAUGCAAACUACAAAAUUAAGACAUAGUCCUAAGCAAGUUUUUAACCGACAACGUCGAGUUUCCUUCCUGCAAGCUUUCCGGCGAACUUCCAGCGGACUUCCGAUACACCCUCGGAUUUCUUCCGGCGGACUCCCAGUAGGCUCCCGAUCUUGUGGCGAGUUCAGCGAGUAGCCGAGCCUUCUCGGUGAUAUUUGCAAACUUUCGUCGAUCUCUUCGGCGGACUUCUGAAAACUUCGACAAGUCCCCGAUUUCUUCUCGGUUGGUUCCGGCAGCAUCUCCGACGAAUCUUCGGACUCUCGACGGACUCUCGAACACCCAUCGAACUUGACUCCGGUAGACUUACUUUAUGUCUUUAAGCUAUCGUUGUUAAUCCUGCAUACUUAAAACAAAACUUUGAUCGAGACAAUUAAUCCUCGGCACAUCAUCCUCUCUUGCGGCCUAUUGCCCAAUCGGCCAGUUGACUCCGCAACUCCGAUAUCCUUGGCACAAUCUCCGCUCUUCUUGGCCCGAUGCCCGAAUCCACGGCUCGAAGCCUUCUGUCGAUACGUCGACCGAUCCACCGGCCCGACGUCCAAUCUUCUGACAUGUUCCUCCAGCACAACAUGAUUUUCCUGCUUUAUUUGUCUCAUCCUGAUCGAAGCAUCCUGCGUCACUCAAAAACGUAGAUUAAAUCAUAAACAUAUAUCAAGUGGUUUCAUCAUCAAAAUACGAGAUUCAACAUGAAGCUUGUAAGGGUUGUCUCCCAAACCUGUGAAAAGGAGAAAGAGUGUAAAAGGGUAGUUGGUCUUUGCCUAUUGAAGGAAGACCGGUAGUGGAAGCCGGUGGCCUCGAGUGAAGAGGAAUCUAUAAUGGAUGUAGGUCACGACGACCGAACCACUAUAAAUCGAUUUGCAUUUUUGUUUUGCUAUUUUCCUUUAUUGCAAACUGCUUUACUUCCUCAUUAAUUUAGCUGCACACUCUUACGAACGUUUUCAAAGUUAAACAUUGUCGAAACGAUUUUAUCGUACGAAGAUUUUCAACUCGACGUGAUUUUUACAUACCAUUAAUUCACCCCCAACACCCCCCUCCCACCCCCCCUCCCCCCCCACCCUCUCAUUCGAUCCUAAUAGUUGGUAUCAGAGUCACGUUUUUCUCAUUUUGGUUAACACCAAAGAGAAAUAACUCUUUUAUAUGAAGCCAAGUGACAUGUACACUCGUUUUACGGAUGUCGUCAAUAGUUUAAAAGCACUUAGUAAAAGCUUUUUAAAUCUUGAACUUGUCAAUAAAAUUCUACGUUCUCUCCCUAAAAAUUGAGAUCCUAAAGUAACUGUAAUAUAAGAGGUAAAAGACUUAAAUAAGUUCUCACUCGAAGAACUUUUUGAGUCAUUAAUGACCUAUUAAAUGAUGUGCAAGACACAUGAUGAACUUGAUGAACAUGAGAACAACCUUUCAAAGAAUAGGAAAGAUUUGACACUUCAAACAAUAGAAUACCACUUGAGUGAUAACUCUAAGUGAUGAUGAUGAUGACCUUGAACUUCUCACAAUAAAAUUUAAAAAGUUCUUAAAACAAAAAUCAAAGAAUAAAAAUAAACUUAAAAAGAAGAAUCUGCCAAAGAAGAAGAAAGUUUUCGAGGUUGCUUGGGACGAAUCGAGCUCAUUCGAAGACGAGAGGCAAACCAACAAAGACAAGGUGACGAAUUAUGUCUUAAUGACUUUCGACAACGAGAUAACCAAAACCCCCUUAGUUUACUAGGAAAUUACUUGAUGCAUUUCAUAAAUUGUUUUUAAAUUAGUAUAUAAAAUAUAAAAAAAUAAAUAAAAGAGGAUCAUGCUUUUCUUGCUAGUGUUUUUGAAAAAUUAAAAAAAAUUGAUCAUGACAUUUGUUUUUCUUUAUGAUAAAGGAUCAAAGUAUUAGAUUUAAAUCUAAUGCUUGUACACCUAAUAAUAUUAAUCGUAUGUAUGCUUUUAAGAAACAAUAAUGUGUAUCUUGAUGAUUUUUGUAUUGCUUUUUUAUUUUGAUUGAAAAUACUUUAUGUUUAAUAAAAACAUGUUUGCUGUUUUAACGAUGUAAUGAAGUAAUAAUAUGUAUAUUCUCAUAUUGCUUUUCAAUUAUAAAUGAUGAUGCAUGGCCUUUGUAUGAAAAACUAGAGCAUGAAAUCAAUCAUAAAAUUUGGAACUAAAAGAACUAGAGUUAUUUUUAAUCUUAUAGGAAUCUAUCUACGUUGCUUUCAUUGAAUUUUUCGAAAAGUAAUUUUGAUGAUGAUUCAUUUUAAUAAUGAGAUGAUAUAUAUCCAAAUGAAUCAUUUAUCGAUGUUUGCGACAUGAGAUUUAUUUUAUAUGAAAUAUUUUUUCUUGAUUCACGUAUGAUUUACUCGUCUAAGAGAAGAUUUAUCCAAAUGAAUCUUGAUUCUUGACAUUAAUAAUUUAAGAUUUAUUUGAAUCAAAAUAUCUUAUUUGAUCUCCUAUGAUUCUAUUCAUUAUUUAUUAAAAAGGAGAUUUGUGAAGAUGAAUCAUUCAUGAAUUGAUCUUUCAUAUUAAUAUCUUUCAUGUCAUUUUUUUUAUAUGACUCAUUUGUAAUUAUGAUUUGUAUUUCUCAUGAUAUAAUUGAAUCAUUGAUUAAAAAAAAAGAUAGAUUAAUGAAUCUAUCUAUGUCUUUUUUUAAUAAAUCUCUUGAAAAUGAUUUUGAUGAUUUGACGAUUUGAAUUUGAAUUAGUCUUAUCUAUAACAUGAUCUUAAUUUUUUUUGAAUUAUAACAUGAUAUUUUUUAUGAAUUAAGAUCAUUUACUAUGACUCUUCCUUUCGCUGUUUGAGUCAUCCAAAAAGAAUCAUAAUUUUUCUCUUAAUUUUUCGACAUUCACAAUUUGAAAUUUGGUUCAUGACUCUAUUCAUGAAGUAUAUAUCUCAUCAUCCAAUUAUUUUUUUCUUGAUAUUUUUCAUGUGAUGAUAUGAAAUUUUGCAUGAAAUACUCAUGAUAUUAUGUUGAUGCAUUCAAAUGAGAAGUUAUGAUCUAUGCUUGGUAGGAUGCAAUGUAAUUUGAUAUUUUGAUAUCAUCAUAAUUUGAAAUAUUUAUGAUUUGGAAUGAUACAUACAAUACUUAUGAUUUUUUUAUGAAAUGAUGUGAAAGUUAACAACUAUCAUUUUCUGAAAUGAUACCUUAUUUCAGUAUGCCAUAUUGAAAUAAGACUGAUACUUUAUCCUUCUCAUGAUUUAGAAUUUGAUGUAAAGGGAAAAGAAUUACAACAUUGUAUUCUUCCCUUCUUUUUGAUAAUGAUAAAAUGGGAGAAAAAUUUGCUAACUUGCACAUUACAAAAGGAAAACUUGCUAGGAAGCAAAAUUGCUAGAUUGCACUUCUCAAAAGAGAUGAAAGAGCUUGUUAUCUUGAACAUCACCAAGAAUUACUAGAUUGCAAUCUCAAGAGAAGCAAAAGUGUUAUCUUGCUUAUCUCAAGAAGCAAUUCUCGCAAACUUUCAUAUCUCAAAAAAAGAAGCUAAAUUUACAAACUUGCACAACUUAAAAUUGUUGCUAGUUUGUAUGUUGUAAAACUUACAUAUCUUAAAAACUUACUGGAUGCACUUCUCUUUUUUUGUUGAUGACAAAGGAGGAGAAGUAAUGAGGAUGAUUUGAAUCAUGUGUGGUAUGAUGCAUUUUUAUAUUUUGAAACAUUGCAUGAUUUUUUGAAUUUAAAGGUUCUAUCAAUAUGACAUAUUUAUAGGGGGGUUAAGGUUAACUCCGUCAUCAAUUGGUUGCCAUCAUAAAAAAAGGGAAGAUUGUUGAAUCUCAGAUUUUGAUGAUGAAACCAAUUGAUAAUGUUAUGAUCUAAUCUGUAUUUUGAGUGACGCAGGACUAGCUUCGAUCAGGAGAGACAAAUUGAUUAAAGCAGGAGGAAUCGGAUGUUGGGCCGGAGUUAAACAUAUCAGAAGAUUGGACGUCGGGCCGGAGGAUCGGUAGACGUGUCGACAGAAGGCUUCGUGCCGUGAAUUCGAGCAUCGGGCCGAAAGAUCGGAUAUUGAGCCAAGGAGAUCGAAAGUUGCGGGUGUCAACAUGCCGAUUGGGCAAUACGCCGAAGGAUCAGACGAAGUAUCGGAAGAACCAAUGACAUGUCGGACAACGGAUGAUUUGUGCUUUGUAAUAAUUUGUCUAUCUCGAGUUAGUUUAGGUCGUAAUUGGGUUAGUUUAGAAUGCAAUUAAGUCAAUUCAAUUAGGGUCCAAUUGGGCCCAAAGUAGGAUUGUUUUGGGCCAAGAGAGAGACCCAUUUAGUGACCCAAAAAUUAGGUCAGGCGAUGGCACCGCUAGUGGCUCAAUCUCCGAGACACGGUCUCCAAGAUUGUGUCAGGCAAUAGUACCGCCAGAUUGAGCGGUGGUACCACCUAGACCACCGCCUAGUAUGGCGGUACUAUUGCCCAGACACAAUCUUCCAAUUUGUGUCAAGCGGUGGUAUCGCCCAGUGUCAGUGCUGCAUGCAGUAGUAUCGCUCAACACAGGCGUUGGUACCGCCAAGACCCGGGAAACCCAGGAUGAGAACUCUUUUGGCUCUAAUUUUGAAGUUAUUUGGGGUCUAUAAAUACCCCAGCUAUUCCUGCAUGGAGAAAUAAGAAUUUGAGCAGAAAUGUGUUGUUAUUCUAAGUUGAAAAAGUGCUAAAUGUCCUCAUCUUUAAGUUUCGGGCUUAGUCUAAAAGAGGUGUGAGGCUUGUAAGGGUUGUCUCUUAAACCCGUGAAGAGAAGAAAAUGUGUAAAAGGGUAGUUGGUCUUUGCCUAUUGAAGGAAGACCGGUAGUGGAAGCCGAUGGCCUCAAGUGAAGAGGAAUCGAUAGUGGAUGUAGGUCACGACGAUCGAACCACUAUAAAUCGGUUUGUAUUUCUGUUUUGCUAUUUUCCUUUAUUGCAAACUGCUUUACUUCCUCGUUACUUUAGUUACAUGCUCUUACGAACGCUUUCAAAGUUAAACAUUGUCGAAAUGAUUUUAUCGUAUGAAGUUUUCGACUCGACGUGAUUUUUACGUACACAUUCCCCCCCUUUUAGUGCAGACUCGAUCCUAACAUAGUUCUUUUUCUUGGGCAUCCUUGUUCAAUGAACUAGAAGUCAUGCAAUGCAUCUAAAUAUUCCACCAUGACGAAAAGGUAUGACUCUUCAUCUUGUGCUUCAAUUUCUCCACUAAUUGGAAUGAAUGCCUGCUUUGACCCCUGAGAUUCUAGCAUAUCAUUAACCCACCAGUCAUCAGUUCAUUGCGGAAGUUAAUAUUGUAUGUUCGUUUAAGAAAUUGGUGGUUGGGCAUUUGCUCAGCAUGUUUUGCUGUACUUUAUGGACAUUAAUAGCUUGUGUUGUUUCUUUAGUGCUUGACAGAAUUUGUAUCCAUCAGUUUACUACUACAGGUUGUUUCAAUCUUAUGUUCCCUAAAGCAGCCAAGUAUAUAUAUGAUGCUCCAUAGAAUCAAACUAGUAUCAUCCUGAUGCAUCUGUAUAGGCCAAGUCUGAUGCUUUUAGUUUUUGGUUUUGCCUUCUCCAUUUGUCUGCUGUAUUUGCCUCAGGUUUUACAUCUCAAAGAUGAUUGAAAUUUGAUGAGCCUAAACUACUAAAUCAAAGUACUUACUAUAGUCAUAUAAUCCUAUAUAUCAAUUCAGUUUAUCCUAUUAACUAAUAUCUGUUCUGAUAAUAAUUAUCAUAAUCUCGAUUGAUGAGAUAGUUGAUUUAUCACCAUGUUGCGUAUAAACCACUCAAGUUGAGAUAGUUUCAUAUAAUUCCUAUACUUCCUGUAACUUAAUUCAAUUGUUCUCUCACAUCUGAUAUGAAGUUUAAAUUGGAGUAUCACAUCAAAUAAGUUUAGUUAUGUUUUUUCUGUUAUAUAUUCAGAAGCAUUUUCUUUCUUAUUUGUUUUGUUUUCUUAGUUCUUAUUAGGUGUAAUUUUGUUUUCUGUUAGUUUAGUUUGUUUUAUGUAUGUAUAUGAUUCAUUGAUUCUACAAUGAACUUAAAAUAUAUUUUAAAAUUUUAAAUAUCUAAAAUAUGCGUAAAUUUCUUAUGAUUUCGAUAUUAAAUAAAAUAUGUUCGCGUUUGUGAUUGAAAUCCAACAUCAAUCAAUUGAUGGACAUUAGCUACAAACUUUUG
This 8774-nucleotide long non-coding RNA is filed under the name Musa acuminata (dwarf banana). Its description in RNAcentral is "long non-coding RNA (MACU_LNC006470)". The record is from RNAcentral. Lineage: Eukaryota; Viridiplantae; Streptophyta; Magnoliopsida; Zingiberales; Musaceae.